This 1325-nucleotide long non-coding RNA is filed under the name Capra hircus (goat). Its description in RNAcentral is "lncRNA (ENSCHIG00000000735.1)". Lineage: Eukaryota; Metazoa; Chordata; Mammalia; Artiodactyla; Bovidae. The record is from RNAcentral.
UAAAACAUAGUAUCUUAGAACAUAAAAAUCUCAGAAGCCCUUUGUGUGGGUUUUAAUACUUUAUUUAGCAUGCAAAAAAAUUCAGGUUGUUUUGCUUUUGCAUUAAUGGUGGCCUUUCAAGGUAGACUGAUAUUUCAAAUAAAUGCAUAGAUGUUGAACUCUGGGUAUAACUGUUGAAGUCUGUGACCCACCCUCAGGUAGGCUGCCCCUGACCUGCCUGUUAAUAUGCAGGGUCUCCCCCACCCCCAGCUGAGGAUUAACCAGAGCCUAAAAGCCAAGUGACCUGCUUUCUCCCAAGUCAGAGGCCUGUACUGACUUUUUGGCAACUUUGGAGCUUGUACUGUAGGGUUACUUCCCAGGCCAGAAAUUUGCAUCAAAGGACUAAGAAAAAUACAUCCAAAAAUAAACAUGAAAGCCAAGACUUCGUGCCAGGAACUCCAGCCACACACAUCCUGUUGGCUGGUUCUCCCGCCUCUCUGCUCACAGUUCUGCUGCUUUUAAACUGAGCGGAAGCCUGCUCGGCUGACGAGGACUUCAUGCCUGCCCCAGGCUCUCACUCCUCUGUCCGCCAGCCUUUCCACGGGGUGGCAGAAUGAUUCAGAUCCAGAGAGGAAGGGAGUGAAGUUACUAGGAGGUAACUAAAGUUAAAAAGAUCUAUAUACACAUAGGCAGUCAGAGGCAAUCAGAAAAGACUUCCUGAGCUUUCCUAGAGAGGCACCAGCCCUGGUUCUCUCUCGGGACCAAGAUCCUCUUAACAGUAACAGAUCCUAACAGGAAAUUAUCGGCGAUGAAGGUGCAUUUUGCUGUCCAGAUAAAGGACAGCUCUUCACUGGAUGUCUGAGAACACUGAGAAAAAGGAAAAGAAGGACGCAUGCCCUGCAAGAAAUAUCGGCAGUACAUGGCGGGACUUCUGGCUCCUCCUUAUGGUGUUAUGGAAACGGGCUCUAACAAUGAUAGUAAGUGAAAAAUGUGAACACUUGUAUCUAAAAAUUUGUUGUGCGGUAUGUGUUUUCAUGUGACAAAAAGAAAUAUGUCUAACGCCAGCUUGACAGAAUAAAUCUCCAGACUCUUGUGGAUAAACAGAUCCGCCAGCCCAUUCUUGGGUUCUUUUAAAAAAUUGUUCCUACAAUAUAAUUAUGUGGCCUUAGCUGAUAGAGGGAAGUAUGCUCUGGGGCUAGUUGGAACUUCAGCAUGUUUCUCAAAGGACCUUCAUCUUAAAGUAUGGUUUGGGGGCUCUUUUAAAAUGGGACUCAUGAACUGUGUUUAUCUCAGUCACAUGUAGACACCUGAGUGCCCCACCUCUUGCUUAUUUUGAUGCUCUUAAG